This is a long non-coding RNA of Sus scrofa (pig), 497 nucleotides long. RefSeq lists it as uncharacterized. The record is from RefSeq and is a predicted model, not a curated record. NCBI's taxonomy places the organism in Eukaryota, Metazoa, Chordata, Mammalia, Artiodactyla, Suidae.
CUCUAGGUGGCGCCAAUAGAACGAGGGCGGAAGGAGUGGUCCGUGUUCUAGCCCGGAGAUCCCCUCGCAUCCUUGUCUUUCUUCCCUUUCUGCUGCGACCUUGGAAGCCACGCCCUGAAGAAGACAGAGGCCCGCUGUGGGUAGAGCCUGGGUCCCUGAAUGACUUCGUGGCAGAGAAGCACCGCAUGCUCCAAAUGCACCUGCGACGUCAGUGAGCAGCUUAUUUUCUGCUGGGUUACUCCCGUUGCGCUUCCACUCCACGGAGGAGGUUUUGCAUUUCAUCUGGUCGUGCUGAUGUGGACGUGGCUUCUCCCCUCCCUGUGCAGACGUUUCCGAUAUCCUGGUCCCGCUGGGUGGUGCAGGGUGGGUCCGUGCACAGAUCCGGAAAUCACACCUGCUGUUCCUUAAAGCCCCAUCCUCCGGGCCAGGAGCUUAUGGCCCUCAGGCCACAUCUGGUCCACUGCCUGUCUUUGUAAAUAAACUUUGAUUGGAAUGCA